This 416-nucleotide ribosomal RNA is filed under the name uncultured bacterium. Its description in RNAcentral is "bacterial SSU rRNA". It matches the Rfam family "Bacterial small subunit ribosomal RNA", at positions 355 to 794 of the family's 1533-position model. The record is from RNAcentral.
UGGGGAAGUAUUGGACAAUGGGCGCAAGCCUGAUCCAGCCAUGCCGCGUGAGUGAUGAAGGCCCUAGGGUUGUAAAGCUCUUUCACCGGUGAAGCGGUAACCGGAGAAGAAGCCCCGGCUAACUUCGUGCCAGCAGCCGCGGUAAUACGAAGGGGGCUAGCGUUGUUCGGAAUUACUGGGCGUAAAGCGCACGUAGGCGGAUUGUUAAGUGAGGGGUGAAAUCCCGGGGCUCAACCCUGGAACUGCCUUUCAUACUGGCAAUCUCGAGUCCGAGAGAGGUGAGUGGAAUUCCGAGUGUAGAGGUGAAAUUCGUAGAUAUUCGGAGGAACACCAGUGGCGAAGGCGGCUCACUGGCUCGGUACUGACGCUGAGGUGCGAAAGCGUGGGGAGCAAACAGGAUUAGAUACCCUAGUAGU